AUGCUACAACAUCUACGCACUGCACUAUUCCAAUUUUGCUUAGCUAAUGAUGUAUUUACUUGCUACAUCAUUAGAAGAAUGGCAUCUACGCUAAUAUUUGUCUGUUUCUCUCUUGUUCCGAGGUCACCGUGGCCACCAGAUCCAGUCUGUGUCCAGAUCAGAGGGUCACUGCAGUCACCCGGAUCCAGUACGUAUCCAGACCAGAUUGAGCGUAGAUGCCAUUCUUCUAAUGAUGUAGAAAGUACGGUGUUAUGUGAAGUGUUUCCGGUUCCAGUUUACCUAAUUAAUGCAGCCUAAAAAUCCUUUAACGGAUUUGGAUAUUAAAAGCAUAUUAGUAUGUUAUGUGUAUGCCAGGUUAAAGAGAUGGGUCUUUAAUCUAGAUUUAAACUGCAAGAGUGUGUCUGCCUCCCGAACAAUGUUAGGUAGGUUAUUCCAGAGUUUAGGCGCCAAAUAGGAAAAGGAUCUGCCGCCCGCAGUUGAUUUUGAUAUUCUAGGUAUUAUCAAAUUGCCUGAGUUUUGAGAACGUAGCGGACGUAGAGGAGUAUAAUGUAAAAGGAGCUCAUUCAAAUACUGAGGUGCUAAACCAUUCAGGGCUUUAUAAGUAAUAAGCAAUAUUUUAAAAUCUAUACGAUGUUUGAUAGGGAGCCAGUGCAGCGAUGACAGGACCGGGCUAAUAUGGUCAUACUUCCUGGUUCUAGUAAGAACUCUUGCUGCUGCAUUUUGGACUAGCUGUAGUUUGUUUACCAAGCGUGCAGAACAACCACCCAAUAAAGCAUUACAAUAAUCUAACCUUGAAGUCAUAAAUGCAUGGAUUAACAUUUCUGCAUUUGACAUUGAGAGCAUAGGCCGUAAUUUAGAUAUAUUUUUGAGAUGGAAAAAUGCAGUUUUACAAAUGCUAGAAACGUGGCUUUCUAAGGAAAGAUUGCGAUCAAGUAGCACACCUAGGUUCCUAACUGAUGACGAAGAAUUGACAGAGCAACCAUCAAGUCUUAGACAGUGUUCUAGGUUAUUACAAGUAGAGUUUUUAGGCCCUAUGAUUAACACCUCUGUUUUUUCAGAAUUUAGCAGUAAGAAAUUACUCGUCAUCCAAUUUUUUAUAUCGACUAUGCAUUCCAUUAGUUUUUCAAAUUGGUGUGUUUCACCGGGCUGCGAGGAAAUAUAGAGCUGCGUAUCAUCAGCAUAACAGUGAAAGCUAACACCAUGUUUCCUGAUGAUAUCUCCCAAGGGUAACAUAUAAAGCGUGAAGAGUAGCGGUCCUAGAACUGAGCCUUGAGGUACUCCAUACUGCACUUGUGAUCGAUAUGAUACAUCUUCAUUCACUGCUACGAACUGAUGGCGGUCAUAUAAGUACGAUUUAAACCAUGCUAAUGCACUUCCACUGAUGCCAACAAAGUGUUCAAGUCUAUGCAAAAGAAUGUUGUGGUCAAUUGUGUCAAACGCAGCACUAAGAUCCAAUAAAACUAAUAGAGAGAUACACCCACGAUCAGAUGAUAAGAGCAGGUCAUUUGUAACUCUAAGGAGAGCAGUCUCAGUACUAUGAUACGGUCUAAAUCCUGACUGGAAAUCCUCACAUAUACCAUUUUUCUCUAAGAAGGAAUUUAAUUUUGAGGAUACCACCUUUUCUAGUAUCUUGGACAGAAAAGGGAGAUUCGAGAUUGGUCUAUAAUUAACUAGUUCUCUGGGGUCAAGUUGUGGCUUUUUUAUGAGAGGCUUAAUAACAGCCAGUUUGAAGGUUUUGGGGACAUGUCCUAAUAACAAUGAGGAAUUAAUAAUAGUCAGAAGAGGACCUAUGACUUCUGGAAGCACCUCUUUUAAGAGCUUAGAUGGUAUAGGGUCUAACAUACAUGUUGUAAGUUUAGAUGAUUUAACAAGUUUAUACAAUUCUUCCUCUCCUAUAGUAGAGAAUGAGUGGAACUGUUCCUCAGGGGGUCUAUAGUGCACUGUCUGAUGCGAAACUGUAGCUGACGGCUGAAUGGUUGCAAUUUUAUCUCUAAUAGUAUCGAUUUUAGAAGUAAAGUAGUUCAUAAAGUCAUUACUGCUGUGGUGAUGGGAAAUGUCAACACUUGUUGAGGCUUUAUUUUUCGUUAAUUUAGCCACUGUAUUGAAUAAAUACCUGGGGUUAUGUUUGUUUUCUUCUAAAAGAGAAGAAAAGUAAUCAGAUCUAGCAGUUUUUAAUGCUUUUCGGUAGGAUAUGCUACUUUCCCGCCAAGCAAUACGAAAUACCUCUAGUUUUGUUUUCCUCCAGCUGCGCUCCAUUUUUCGGGCUGCUCUCUUUAGGGUGCGAGUAUGCUCAUUAUACCAUGGUGUCAAACUGUUUUCCUUAACCUUUCUUAAGCGUAAAGGAGCAACUGUAUUUAAAGUGCUAGAAAAGAGAGAGUCCAUAGUUUCUGUUACAUCAUCAAGUUGUUCUGAGGUUUUGGAUAUGCUAAGGAAUUCGGAUACAUCAGGAAGAUAACUUAAAAAGCUGUCUUUUGUGGUAGAAGUGAUGGUUCUUCGAUACUUGUAACAAGAAGUAGAAUUUACAAUUUUGGCUAUAUGAAGUUUACACAGAACUAAAUAAUGAUCUGAGAUAUCAUCACUUGGCUGAAUAAUUUCAGCACUAUCAACAUCAAUUCCAUGUGACAGUAUUAAAUCUAGAGUAUGAUUUCGACAAUGAGUAGGUCCUGAAACGUGUUGUCUAACACCAAUAGAGUUCAGAAUGUCUAUAAAUGCUGAUCCCAAUACAUCUUUUUCAUUAUCGACAUGGAUAUUAAAAUCACCAACUAUUAAGACUUUAUCUGCAGCCAGAACUAACUCGGAUGUAAAAUCACCAAACUCUUUAAUAAAGUCUGUAUGGUGCCCUGGUGGCCUGUAUACAGUAGCCAGUACAAACAUAACAGGGGAUUUAUCAUUAACAUUGGUUUCUCUGGAUAAUGUUAUAUGAAGCACCAUUACUUCAAACGAGUUAUACUUGAAGCCUGCCCUCUGAGAAAUCCUGAAAACGUUGUUAUAAAUUGAAGCAACACCUCCCCCUUUGCCUUUUAGACGCGGCUCGUGUUUAUAACAAUAAUCUUGGGGGGUGGACUCAUUUAAAAUAAUGUAAUCAUCAGGUUUUAGCCAGGUUUCUGUCAAGCAGAGCACAUCUAUAUUAUGAUCAGUUAUCAUAUUAUUUACAAAAAGUGUUUUCGUAGAAAUGGAUCUGAUAUUCAAUAAGCCAAUCUUUAUCAUUUGUUUAUCCAUAUUGCAUUUGUUUUUUAUUUGUUGAACCUCAAUUAAAUUGUUAACCUUAACUUGGUUUGGACGUUUUUUGUAUUUUCUAGUUCGUGGAACAGACACAGUCUCUAUAGUGUGAUAUCUAGGUGAAAGAGUCUCUAUGUGCUGAGAAUUAACUGACCUCUGUGACGGGAGGCAGCUAGCAGACGGUCGGUUUAGCCAGUCUGUCUGCUUCCUGACCUGGGCCCCAGUUAGUCAAGUAUAAACACUAAGACUAUUUGCCAUAUUUCUAGACAGAAGAGUGGCGCCACCCCAGGAGGGAUGAAGACCAUCUCUUUUAAACAGGUCAGGUCUGCCCCAAAAGCUCGUCCAAUUGUCUAUAUAACCUAUGUUAUUCUGUGGGCACCACUUAGACAUCCAGCCAUUGAGUGAUGACAAUCUGCUAUGCAUCUCAUCACCACGGUAAGCAGGGAGGGGACCAGAGCAUAUUACAGUGUCUGACAUCGUGCUUGCAAGUUCACACACCUCUUUAAAGUUAUUUUUAGUGAUCUCCGACUGGCGAAGUCGAACAUCAUUAGCGCCGACAUGAAUAACAAUCUUACUGUAUUUACGUUUAGCAUUAGCCA
RNAcentral lists this long non-coding RNA (3818 nucleotides) under Carassius auratus (goldfish). RNAcentral's name for it is "lncRNA (ENSCARG00000059101.1)". Lineage: Eukaryota; Metazoa; Chordata; Actinopteri; Cypriniformes; Cyprinidae. The record is from RNAcentral.